Molecule: transfer RNA, 74 nt
Filed under: Nitrososphaerota archaeon
Lineage: Archaea; Thermoproteati; Nitrososphaerota
Description: tRNA-Gly
Rfam family: tRNA
About the family: Transfer RNA (tRNA) molecules are approximately 80 nucleotides in length. Their secondary structure includes four short double-helical elements and three loops (D, anti-codon, and T loops).
Source: RNAcentral
GCGGGCAUAGUAUAGCCUGGUUAGAACGGUGGCUUGCCAAGCCAUCGACGCGGGUUCAAAUCCCGCUGCCCGCA